GUCGAGCAUGGCCAGGUUGGCGCCUUCGCCGUUCGGGGCGGCGAGGUGGACGGCGUCGCCGAGCAGGGUCGCCCCCGGCGCCCGGUCCCA
RNAcentral lists this transfer RNA (90 nucleotides) under Streptomyces angustmyceticus. Its description in RNAcentral is "tRNA-Pro". The record is from RNAcentral. Lineage: Bacteria; Bacillati; Actinomycetota; Actinomycetes; Kitasatosporales; Streptomycetaceae.